Molecule: ribosomal RNA, 497 nt
Filed under: uncultured bacterium
Lineage: Bacteria
Description: partial 16S ribosomal RNA
Rfam family: Bacterial small subunit ribosomal RNA
Source: RNAcentral
GAUGAACGCUGGCGGCGUGCCUAAUACAUGCCAGUCGAGCGAACAGACGAGGAGCUUGCUCCUCUGACGUUAGCGGCGGACGGGUGAGUAACACGUGGAUAACCUACCUAUAAGACUGGGAUAACUUCGGGAAGCCGGAGCUAAUACCGGAUAAUAUAUUGAACCGCAUGGUUCAAUAGUGAGAGACGGCUUUGCUGUCACUUAUCGAUGGAUCCGCGCCGCAUUAGCUAGUUGGUACGGUAACGGCUUACCAAGGCGACGAUGCGUAGCCGACCUGCGAGGGUGAUCGGCCACACUGGAAGUGAGACACCGACCUGAGGCCUGCGGGAGGCAGCAGUAGGGAAUCGUCGGCAAUGGGCGAAAGCCUGACGGAGCAACGCCGCGUGAGUGAUGAAGGCCCUCGGAUCGGAAAACUCUGUUAUUAGGGAAGAACCGAUGUGUAAGGAACUAAGGACGUCGUGACGGUACCUAAUCAGAAAGCCCCGGCUAACUACGUG